RNAcentral lists this unclassified non-coding RNA (1010 nucleotides) under Hevea brasiliensis (rubber tree). Lineage: Eukaryota; Viridiplantae; Streptophyta; Magnoliopsida; Malpighiales; Euphorbiaceae. The record is from RNAcentral.
UUUUUUUUUUUUUUGGGGACAAGGUGGUAAUAUUGAUUAACAUAAAGUAAAAGAUGUUGAACGACAGAAUGUGAAUAUAGUUCAAAUCAUUCGAGCAAAGCUAACAAUGGUUUCACACUUUCACUUGGAAAUCAGCAUAUAUAAAUGGUUCCUAUCUAGUUAUAAGGCUCAUUUGGCACAUGUUUUAUAUGAGGUAUAUCUAUUAUGGAUGCAAGUUAAACUGCAUAUGUGCACGACAAACUUGGGUUUUUAUGUCUAUGUAGGUUUGCUUGGUGCUUUUUCAUUUGUUGAUUCAAAGAUAUGAUUUGGCUUCCGCACAUGCAUGCCAAAUAUAGGGCCUAACAAUUUAAUAUCGGAUGUAAUUAUGAAGUUUCUUUGUCUACAUUUACUUUUACAUUAUAGAGAUCAUUGAAUGGCAUUUCUAACUCAAUUUGAUUUCAACUCUACUGUAUACUGUCUUUCCUUUAAUUUUUCUCUUUAUUGUGAAUUCAGAUAUCUUGUGUCAGCUGAUUCUACUGUGGGGCAGUUUAUCCAUGUUAUCCGUGAAAGGAUUAAGCUUGGUGCUGAAAAGGCUAUAUUUGUGCAUAUAAAGAACAUUUUACCUCCAAUUGGAGAGUGACAUUAGUUAACUAAUUUUUAUAUAUGAAAUUCUUUUAGUAAUAUUCUCAUUCUUAUGUUGGAUAAAUUCUUCUUUUGUUGCAGAUGCGUUGAUGUCUACAAUUUAUGAGGAGAACAAGGAAGAAGAUGGUUUUCUUUACAUGACUUACAGUCAGGAGAAUAUCUUUGGAUCCCAUCAAGAGCAGCAGAAUAUUUGUAUGUAAAUAAUGCAGGAAGAUGUAUGUUCUCAGCUGUCUGUUAAUACUAAUGCUUUAACCAGCUUAUAUGUUCUGCUCAUCUUAUUUUGGAUUUACGCUAUUAAGGCACUAGAAGAAUUUUGACAUUGAACUGAAUGGAUUCAUAUAAAUUCUGGUGAUCUGAUUUCCAAUACUUUAUUUUCUUUUAUUUGCAAA